This 418-nucleotide ribosomal RNA is filed under the name uncultured bacterium. RNAcentral's name for it is "bacterial SSU rRNA". It matches the Rfam family "Bacterial small subunit ribosomal RNA", at positions 38 to 481 of the family's 1533-position model. The record is from RNAcentral.
GGCGGCGUGCCUACACUGCAGUCGAACGCUCCGCGUAGCAAUACGUGGGGAGUGGCGGACGGGUGAGUAACACGUAGCUCAUCUACCCUGGGAAGGGGGAUAACAGCUGGAAACGGCUGCUAAUACCCCAUACGAGGGGAGGCGGUAGGGGCCUCUCAGGAAAGCUGAGGCGUCCUGGGAUGAGGCUGCGGCCCAUCAGCUGGUUGGCGAGGUAACGGCUCACCUAGGCGACGACGGGUAGGGGGCCUGAGAGGGUGGUCCCCCACACUGGAACUGAGACACGGUCCAGACUCCUACGGGAGGCAGCAGUGAAGAAUAUUGCUCAAUGGGCGAAAGCCUUACGCAGCAACGCCGCGUGGAGGAAGACGGCCUUCGGAUUGUAAGCUCCUUUUCCGGGGGAAGAUUUGGACGGUACCCC